UCGACGAGCUCCCCGAGCAAGUGUCAUCGCUACUGCGGCUGGCGACGCGAGCGCCACCUAUCGCGCGCGCCGCGCUCGCGUGGGGACUUUCCGCGCUUGGAGCGUUACUUAUACUCCUAGCGGUCACCUGCCUCAUACGAUCAUCCCACCGGCAAAGCACCCUCCGACUGGAGGGGCACGCGGUGGCCAAGCCUCCCCCGGCCAAGGCUCCUUCCAAGGACAACGGCUACGAGCUCAACAGCAGGCGGUAACGGCCCGGGGUUCCUUACACCCCGGGGUCCCAUACGCCCCGCGCCAAAAACGUCUCUGGACAGGGUGACUUCACAAAAACACUGCAAAGAUUAGGUCAUUGUCAGGUCGUUUAGACUCCAUUGCAGGAGCACGACUCUCUAAUUUACCAGAGAAAAUAUUGGAAUCAUCAUAAAUAGUCUCCAUUGCAGGAGUAUAAAUUUACCAGCAAACGGAGGAUUUGACUCUCUGGUGGGAGAGGCCUGAUGUUAAAAAAAUUGGGUAAUUUUUGCAAAAUUAUAUUAUGAUUCUUGCAUUGUGUUGAGUGUCUUAAAUAAAAUAUUAGGCGCAUAAAAGUACUAGCGGGAAUCUUCAAGUGCCAAAACAGGAUCGAAAGCCUUUUUGAAGUCGCUCAAACCGUUUUAGCGUUUCUAGAGACCAUUUGAAACUGUCUUAAGACUUUCAACAAUAGAAUCUCAUUGCGAUAGUUGUUUAUACAAAUUCUUGUCCGAAUCUCUUCAAUUAUUUGAAUUUUGGAUAUAGGGAGAAAUAAUGGGCUCAGAGUAGUGCCUUGUAGGACUCCUGAGAACUGUGGCCAACUGUGUUUAUAAAUUGAUCAUCACAACAUUAUUAUAAUUAUUAAUUUAAUUAUUAAUAACUGCAGAAGUCUUGAGACAGACAAAGCAAGUUAGACACAUUUUAUUAUACAUAUUGUAAAUUGAAUACAAUAAAAAAAUAGGGUGAACAGCACAAUUUUUUGACUGUAACAUUUCUAAAGUUUUUUCUUCAUCUAUUUCGUGAUCAGAAAAUUGGUUGUUUACCGUAUUUUUUAUUCCUAAAAAUCGGGAAAAAGUUACUUUUCGAGUGGUGAUAUAAUUUUCAUCACUAGAAGACUCACUUUUUUGUUUAAUUUAAUAAAAAUGUAACGAAUAUUACGAUAAAUAUAGGCUUUAGAUUUAAGCCUCCGUUCCGGCGAAUGAAAAAAAAUAUUAGCAAAAUGAUUUUUUGGCAUUUUUUUUUAUAAUUUUAUUUUUACUCUUUUUAAUAGUGUACCACCUCAUAAUGUUGCUAUUUUUAUGCUUAAGUCUUACAUUUGUGAUAGUCCUAUCAUAUUUUUUAUUUCCAUUAUUGAAAAUGUCAAAUAUAAAAUAUUUGAACAAAUUACUAUUAAUUUUGUAAAUUGACUUGUAUAAUUUUUUUUGAGAAAAAUUAGGGAUUUUUUUAAAAUGAUUAUUAUUAUUCGUUAGUUGUGACUGUUUAUUUUUAAUACUGUAAAUACAAAUUAUUUUUAAUCUUUUUUCUUUGGGCUUCGGGAUGCCAUUACGGUUGCUGUAAGUGACGAAUGUAUUAAAUGAAACUUAUUUUUUAUUUUUACCGAUAGCUGCUAGUCUUACAUGGGUCCGUCCUUAGGUAUAUUAGGAUUUUAACACUUUUUUAUAACUAUUUUCAUAGAAUAAAAUCUACCGAGGCGAGGUUUCUAUAUAAUAAUCUACUCUAUUAACAAAAUGUUGGUGGAAAUGAAUACAUUUUCAUUUGAAAUUCGCUAAAAUAUGAAGCGAAGUGAUUAUAUAAACAGAUAAAUGUGGCAAAUGUCUAUAAAACUAUAUUUUUGUAGAUUUAUAUACCUACAAUAGUGCUUUUCACAAAGUAAAUCUUGUAGUUUAAAAAUAAAUAGGUAUUUUUAAAACACUAGCGCCACUGUCAAGAACUUUUUGUGAAAAAGACUGAGCUAUUUCCAUAGAUUAAAAAUAGACAAAUGUCCAAGUUCCACGGCCUGUUGUUUUUUGAUAUUAUUCGAGGAAUAUGUUUUUAAAAUCCAAUUUUUUAAUUGAAUCAAGAAGAUUUAAAUCUGCUCUCUUGCUGUCUCUCAUUUCUAUUUAAAAUGUUUAUGUAAAAUGGCAAUUUACCGUAUUUCUUUUUUAAAACAGCAGGCCAAAAAUUUACAGUAAAAUUUUGAUGUAUGUAUGGUUUAUAAUAAAUGAAUGUAUUUUAGAUAAUUUCUCCAAUAACCGGUGCUAGGUUUGUCUUUAUACUGUCUUCGCAAUCCAUUUCUUUGUCUUCCAAGCGCAAUGUGAAUAGAUAUAGGAAUCUAGACCAAUUUGAGAUGGUUACAGGACUUUUGGCGGGAAUAUAAUGGUCAAUUACCCUUAUUUAUACCUCGACAACAUUAAUAACAAGUUAUAAUAAGGAACAUGUAUGAUUCCAUUGGAAAAAGGCUU
Ostrinia furnacalis (Asian corn borer) is the source of this 2447-nucleotide long non-coding RNA. RefSeq lists it as uncharacterized. The transcript has 2 exons. The record is from RefSeq and is a predicted model, not a curated record. Lineage: Eukaryota; Metazoa; Arthropoda; Insecta; Lepidoptera; Crambidae.